Molecule: ribosomal RNA, 450 nt
Filed under: uncultured bacterium
Lineage: Bacteria
Description: partial 16S ribosomal RNA
Rfam family: Bacterial small subunit ribosomal RNA
Source: RNAcentral
GUGGGGAAUAUUGGACAAUGGGCGAAAGCCUGAUCCAGCCAUGCCGCGUGUGUGAAGAAGGUCUUCGGAUUGUAAAGCACUUUAAGUUGGGAGGAAGGGUAGUAACCUAAUACGUUGCUACUUUGACGUUACCGACAGAAUAAGCACCGGCUAACUUCGUGCCAGCAGCCGUGGUAAUACGAAGGGUGCAAGCGUUAAUCGGAAUUACUGGGCGUAAAGCGCGCGUAGGUGGUUCAGUAAGUUGGAAGUGAAAUCCCCGGGCUCAACCUGGGAACUGCUUUCAAAACUGCUGAGCUAGAGUACGGUAGAGGGUGGUGGAAUUUCCUGUGUAGCGGUGAAAUGCGUAGAUAUAGGAAGGAACACCAGUGGCGAAGGCGACUACCUGGACUGAUACUGACACUGAGGUGCGAAAGCGUGGGGAGCAAACAGGAUUAGAAACCCGGGUAGUCC